This 201-nucleotide long non-coding RNA is filed under the name Elaeis guineensis (African oil palm). Its description in RNAcentral is "long non-coding RNA (EGUI_LNC037354)". Lineage: Eukaryota; Viridiplantae; Streptophyta; Magnoliopsida; Arecales; Arecaceae. The record is from RNAcentral.
CUUCCAAUAUUUUUGUUCUGAUGCGCUUCUUUCUCCUUGAUGAUAAGCAAGCUAGAGUAGCAUGGAUGUGGUGAUGAUGUGAAGAAGUGGCAGAUCAGAGAAUAUGGAGAACCGUGCGCACGAAAGGAGGGGGUGGGCAUGUAUAGAGAAACCACGGGUUGCUGAACGGGAGAGAGAUGGAGGAGUCACGAGUAGGCAGCA